RNAcentral lists this ribosomal RNA (496 nucleotides) under uncultured bacterium. RNAcentral describes it as "partial 16S ribosomal RNA". It matches the Rfam family "Bacterial small subunit ribosomal RNA", at positions 28 to 506 of the family's 1533-position model. The record is from RNAcentral.
GAUGAACGCUGGCGGCGUGCCUAAUACAUGCAAGUCGAGCGAACAGAUGAGGAGCUUGCUCCUCUGACGUUAGCGGCGGACGGGUGAGUAACACGUGGAUAACCUACCUAUAAGACUGGGAUAACUUCGGGAAACCGGAGCUAAUACCGGAUAAUAUAUUGAACCGCAUGGUUCAAUAGUGAAAGACGGUUUUGCUGUCACUUAUAGAUGGAUCCGCGCCGCAUUAGCUAGUUGGUAAGGUAACGGCUUACCAAGGCAACGAUGCGUAGCCGACCUGAGAGGGUGAUCGGCCACACUGGAACUGAGACACGGUCCAGACUCCUACGGGAGGCAGCAGUAGGGAAUCUUCCGAAAUGGGCGAAAGCCUGACGGAGCAACGCCGCGUGAGUGAUGAAGGUCUUCGGAUCGUAAAACUCUGUUAUUAGGGAAGAACAAAUGUGUAAGUAACUAUGCACGUCUUGACGGUACCUAAUCAGAAAGCCACGGCUAACUACGU